This 30-nucleotide non-coding RNA is filed under the name Mus musculus (house mouse). Lineage: Eukaryota; Metazoa; Chordata; Mammalia; Rodentia; Muridae. The record is from RNAcentral.
UCUCAUGGUGCCAGGAAGCAAACAGAAAGA